GACGAACGCUGGCGGCGUGCUUAACACAUGCAAGUCGAACGGAAAGGCCCUGCUUGCAGGGUACUCGAGUGGCGAACGGGUGAGUAACACGUGGGUGAUCUGCCCUGCACUUCGGGAUAAGCCUGGGAAACUGGGUCUAAUACCGGAUAGGAGCCAUUUUUAGUGUGAUGGUUGGAAAGUUUUUUCGGUGUAGGAUGAGCUCGCGGCCUAUCAGCUUGUUGGUGGGGUAAUGGCCUACCAAGGCGGCGACGGGUAGCCGGCCUGAGAGGGUGGACGGCCACAUUGGGACUGAGAUACGGCCCAGACUCCUACGGGAGGCAGCAGUGGGGAAUAUUGUACAAUGGGCGCAAGCCUGAUGCAGCGACGCCGCGUGGGGGAUGACGGCCUUCGGGUUGUAAACUCCUUUCGCUAGGGACGAAGCUUUUUGUGACGGUACCUAGAUAAGAAGCACCGGCUAACUACGUG
This 465-nucleotide ribosomal RNA is filed under the name uncultured bacterium. RNAcentral describes it as "partial 16S ribosomal RNA". It matches the Rfam family "Bacterial small subunit ribosomal RNA", at positions 28 to 507 of the family's 1533-position model. The record is from RNAcentral.